AAAAAAAAAAAAGAAAGAAAUACAUAAUAUCUGGCUCUCAACAAAAAAUCACAAGGCACACUAAAAGAUAAGAAAGGGACAGCCAGAAGAAGGGACAGAGAGAUCAUCAGAACUAGAAUCAGAUAAGACACAGAUAUUGGAAUUAUCACACAAGGAAUUUAAAAUUACUGAUUUAUGUUAUGGGCUCAAAUGGAAAAAUAAACAGCAUGUAACACCAAAUGGAUAAUGUCAGCAGAGAGAUAGAAACUAUUAAUAUAAGAAACAAAAGGAAAUACUAGAAAUGGAAAACUGUAAUAAAAAUGAAGUAUGUCUUCAACAGGUUUACCUACUGGACAUAGCUGAAGAAAAAAAAGAAUCAGUGCAUUUGAACAUAGUUUAAAUAGAAACUUCCCAAAUUGAAGCACAAAGAGGAAGAAGAAUCUCAAAAACUCAGAACAAUGAAGAACUGUGGACAAUAUCAAAAGGGACUCAUUUGGAAGCAGUGCAUUUUUAUCAGAGGGACUGAAAAGCCUUUCGAGAAUCAGUCAAGAAAAAGGAAUGCGCAUGAGAGUCAUGGUCACAUCAUGUGAUUGUAGGGAAAGCCUAGGCUAUCAUGGAGGGAAGAGAUUGGAUAAAUUAUUUGAAAAGCAAGCCUGUGAAUUGCUGUGGAGGAACAAUAGCCUGUCUCUUAUCUGGAGCCUUUCCAAGGAAAAGCAAAGGGGACCCUAGAAGGCUUCCUGGGAGACAGUUUAAUUCUGAAAACAAAGCAGUACUUCACCUCUUGUGUGUUGGGUAGAGCUGUAAAACAGAACACAGUCAAAAUAGUCAUUAGGGCCACAUCAAUGUCUGCCCAAAGUCAGGCGAGCAUUCCCAGGAAGGUGGGGGGCUGUGGCAGUUGCACACAUCAACCUCCUUUCUCCAUUGUCACACAGCAGAAGAGCGUGUUCCAUUCUACUAAAGUUGGGGCGGGGGGAGUUGAAUAAUUUAUUGACUGAAAACUGGGGGCCUGAGUUAGAUGGUAAAAAAGUUUAGAGUGCUGUUUUUUGUUUUUUAAGUUAUGUUUGUUUUAUAUAUUGAAGUGCUUAAAAUGUAUUUUAAAAAUUCAAAACAUCCCAGAAAUUCAGCAACUUGAGGAGACAAUAGUGACGAACAUUUUAUGGCAACAUUUGGACACUUUAAAGAUUAUUUCAGGAACUUUAAUGCUGAUAAAUGAGAGAAGGGACAACUUUUCCUAACUAUAACAUUUCGGCACCUGAGUACAGGGAUCAAAACAAGAGCAAGCAUUUCAAAUUCAUAUUGUGAAGCACCUACAAAAAGAUUAUUCUGUUAGCCUUCAUAAUGUGGAGAGUUCAUCUUUUCAUCUUAUCAAAUAAAAAUAUACCCAAAUUCUUGAACAGGCAUUCAGUUAGGAAAAGAGGGUGGGGUGAUGAAAUGUGUUCUCAUUCAGCAAACACUUUGCAGAUAUUUCUAGUCAAAGAUCCCUGUGGUCUAGGCUAGUGAGAGAAAAACGUGCCCUCUGCCCAGUGACAGCGGCUGCACGGGGAUCAGCUUUCACCAAUGCAGGCAGGGGAACAAAGGGCAGGCUUCAUCUGCCUGCAUCCCACAGGCCCUUGCGCAGGGGAGUUCCAUUUCAGUGCCCAUCACAUGACCUCUCAGGCCAAAACGGUUUUUAAUAAUUCUGAUUUUGAAUAUCAAAUGGAAGUGAAAAGUACAUUUAGGAAGGAAGGGCUCUAUCCUUAUUGAAGAACAUGCUCUAUGCAAACAGGUUGGACAGGCACUAGCUCUUGUAGAGCUAUGGUUCUCAGCUUUGGCAACACACUGGAUCACCUCCUCUAAAAGGUACUGAUGCCUGCUUUCCUCCCUCUUCUGCCCCUAAAGAAAGUAGAAUUUAAUUUUAAGCUCUAGGGUGUGGCCUGGGCAUCAGGACUUUUUUUUUUUUUUUGACAGAGUCUCACUGUGUCACCUAGGCUAGAGUGCAGUGUGCAGUCUUGGCUCACUGCAGCCUCAAUCUCCCAGAUUCAAGAGAUCCUCCUGCCUCAGCCCCCUAAGUAACUAGGAUUACAGGCACGCACCACCACACCAGGCUAAUUUUUGUAUUUUUUGUGGAGACGGUCUUUCACUGUGUUGCCCAAGCUGGUCUUGAACUCCUGAGCUCAGGUGAUCCACCUGCCUCAGCCUCCCAAAGUGCUGGGAUUACAGGCAUAAGCCACAGCCCCUGGCCGGCAUCAGGAUUUUUAAAAGCUCCCAAGUGCAGUCAAGGUUGAGAACAGCUGCUAUAGUGUGACUUAAUACAGCAUUCAAAGCCUCUCAUAAUCUAGCCUCAGCCUAAUUUUUCCUUCCAGCACCCCAUCUCAGCCUGUACAUAAGCCACAGAGACAUUCUCACUGUUCUCUGAAUGUACUUGGCUCAUUCAUAUUUCCAGGCUUUCUUGCACACACAUUGUCUGACUCUGGGCACCUAAGGAAAGCUCAGCUCCAAUGUCCUCUCCUCUUCCGUGAAACCUUUCCUGUCAAGCCCACCUUCACUACUAAGUCACUCCUUGCUCCUAGAUCAGAUGGAAGAAUGCUUUGGCAUAUCUCUACUGGAGCCCUUCUCACUUUACAUUAAAGAUAACUGUAUAUAGGUUAGCCCACUCCUCCUCCCUAAUAGCAUGUGGACCCUUUGUAGUUUCAGCAGUAAGCACAGGGCUUGGUUUCUAUGAAUACUUAUUGAGUGAAUGGAUGAAUGAAUGCCAAUCUUGUACAUUGUUGAUGUUCACCACAUUGAACCCAGUUCUCAAACCAGGAUCACUUGGGAGAUUCUGAGUCAAUAAUUUGAAGGUCUGUAUCAUUCCUACUCAAAGUGUGGUCCAUAAGCCAGCAGUGGCUAUAUUAUCUGGGAGCUUGUUGCAAAUGCAGAAUAUGUAUUUUAACAAGAUCCCCAGGCAAUUCAUAUGCACAUUACACUUUGAGCUAUAUUUUUAACAAGCUCCCAGGUGAUUCCUUUGUAGCCCGGCUGCUGACCUGCAUUUCGUAACCACUGUUCUAGACCUUCAUUUGCUGAAUGGAGUGGUCCCUGUGUGAUUGCCUACAGGUUUCUUCUAGUCUCCCAUUUUUCUUCCUAGUUAACAAAGCCCAAAUUUUGUUUGGAAGGGUGAUCAGCCCUUCACCCAUCAGGCCUUUGCCUCAGGGAAGCUUGACCCCACCUUUAGACCCCAUGUUGGGCCUGAGUAGUCCAAAGGCAUAUCCCAUUCCCCUGGCCAGGGAUUAGUUUAGGGAUAGACAUGUGACCAAAUUCAGCUCAAUAAAAUGUGAGUCUGCAGGGGCAAUCUAGAAAAAGUGUCCUCUUCCCUAAGAGAAAGCCACAGGAGGGUAAAAAAAUGUCUCAGAACAUUGUCCUGCCUAAACAUGAUGCCUCGGACAUUCUGCUUCUGUCUUGCUACCUGCAGCACAAGGAAAUCCAACACUGAGGGGUCACAGCAGAGGGACGGAAAGCACCUGGAUCUUACAACAUUGUUGAGCUCUUUUGUCUCUUGACUUCUAGUUAUGAGAUGUAAUUUUCUUACUGUUAAAGUCAUUUCUGUUCCUUGCAACCAAAAGCAUUCAUUGAUACACUGAAUAUAGUACAAUAUUUAUUCAAUCAAUAAAUGCCUGGCAAAUUACCCAAGU
RNAcentral lists this long non-coding RNA (3626 nucleotides) under Homo sapiens (human). RNAcentral's name for it is "HSALNT0315579". The record is from RNAcentral. Lineage: Eukaryota; Metazoa; Chordata; Mammalia; Primates; Hominidae.